RNAcentral lists this ribosomal RNA (468 nucleotides) under uncultured bacterium. RNAcentral describes it as "partial 16S ribosomal RNA". It matches the Rfam family "Bacterial small subunit ribosomal RNA", at positions 28 to 507 of the family's 1533-position model. The record is from RNAcentral.
GACGAACGCUGGCGGCGUGCUUAACACAUGCAAGUCGAACGGAAAGGCCCUGCUUUUGUGGGGUGCUCGAGUGGCGAACGGGUGAGUAACACGUGAGUAACCUGCCCUUGACUUUGGGAUAACUUCAGGAAACUGGGGCUAAUACCGGAUAGGAGCUCCUGCUGCACGGUGGGGGUGGGAAAGUUUCGGCGGUUGGGGCUGGACUCGCGGCUUAUCAGCUUGUUGGUGGGGGAGUGGCUUACCAAGGCUUUGACGGGCAGCCCGCCUGGGAGGGGGACCGCCGACAUUGGGCCUAAGAUACGGCCCAGACUCCUACGGGGGGCAGCGGUGGGAAGUAUUACGCAAUGGGCGGAAGCCUGAUGAGACAGCGCCGGGGGCGGGAUGACGGCCUUCGGGUUGUAAACCGCUUUAGGCUGUGACGAAGCGUGAGUGACGGUAAUGGGUAAAGAAGCACCGGCUAACUACGUG